UACGAGGGGGGCAAGUGUUGUUCGGAAUCACUGGGCGUAAAGGGAGCGUAGGCGGAUGUUUAAGUUGGAUGUUUAAAACCGGGGCCUAACCUCGGAGCGGCAUCCAGAACUGGGCAUCUUGAAUAGGUCAGAGGCUGGUGGAAUUGGAGGUGUAGCGGUGGAAUGCGUAGAGAUCUCCAAGAACACCUAUUGCGAAGGCAGCCAGCUGGGACCAUAUUGACGCUGAGGCUCGAAAGCAUGGGGAGCAAACAGG
RNAcentral lists this ribosomal RNA (253 nucleotides) under uncultured bacterium. RNAcentral's name for it is "partial 16S ribosomal RNA". It matches the Rfam family "Bacterial small subunit ribosomal RNA", at positions 524 to 776 of the family's 1533-position model. The record is from RNAcentral.